UAAUGUGAUCAUACCAGCACUAAAGCACCGGAUCCCUUCAGAACUUUGAAGUUAAGCGUGCUUGGGCGAGAGUAGUACUAGGAUGGGUGACCUCCUGGGAAGUCCUUGUGUUGCAUCCC
Molecule: ribosomal RNA, 119 nt
Organism: Oryza rufipogon (brownbeard rice)
Lineage: Eukaryota; Viridiplantae; Streptophyta; Magnoliopsida; Poales; Poaceae
Source: Rfam